This 76-nucleotide transfer RNA is filed under the name Sodalis-like symbiont of Bactericera trigonica. Its description in RNAcentral is "tRNA-Phe". It matches the Rfam family "tRNA". Rfam says of the family: Transfer RNA (tRNA) molecules are approximately 80 nucleotides in length. Their secondary structure includes four short double-helical elements and three loops (D, anti-codon, and T loops). Lineage: Bacteria; Pseudomonadati; Pseudomonadota; Gammaproteobacteria; Enterobacterales; Bruguierivoracaceae. The record is from RNAcentral.
GUCCGGAUAGCUCAGUCGGUAGAGCAGGGGAUUGAAAAUCCCCGUGUCCUUGGUUCGAUUCCGAGUCCAAGCACCA